RNAcentral lists this long non-coding RNA (7594 nucleotides) under Marmota monax (woodchuck). The record is from RNAcentral. Lineage: Eukaryota; Metazoa; Chordata; Mammalia; Rodentia; Sciuridae.
AUCGCGCCAGUUCCGGGAGGGGAAUGGAAGCUGAAGUGACUUUUGAGCGAUUAAUUCCUGAGUGAUGAGUGCUCUCAGACACAGUGCGUGACAGGACCGACAGAAGACUCCGCCAAACCAGGAAAUAAGAGAGCUUUAGGGGCGUGUGGUCUCAGCGAUGCCUCCCUCCGCCUCAACACAGAAAAAGAUAAAAUGUGAAACAGAAGUGGAUUUGCCUUCUAAGCCUCUAGGAUACUACCGGAAUCAGCAUAUAUUGAUAAACACAGCCCUUGAAGUGUUCAUAUAAAUAUUGACAAUAAUUUCAAUUUGAUAAUGUUUAAAAGUAUGAUAUAUACAUUGAAGAAUAUUCUGAAGGACCGGGCCUACCUGUAAUCCCAGCUGCUCGGAAGGCUGAGGCAGGAAGACCACAAGUCCGAGACCAGCCUCAGCAACUGAGAAUCUGACAUAAAAUAUUCCAGAUAACAUGAAAAAGAUGGACAAAAUCUGGGCGGGUGGCACACGCCUAAUCCCAGUGAUUCCGCAGUUUGAGGCAGGACGAUCCAAAGUUCAAGUCCAGCAACUUGGUAAGACCCUGUCUCUAAGAAAUAAAAAGGGGGUUGUAGCUCAGUGAUAGAGCACUUGCCUUUCACGUGCAACGCAUGGGUUCCAUCCUCAGCACCACAUAAAAAUAAGUUAAUAAAGGUAUUGUGUCCAUCUACAACUAAAAAAAUAUUUUUUAAAAAAAAAGAAGAAAUAAAAUGGGUUGGGGAAUGUAGAUCAGUGGUAAAGCACCUUUGGGUUCAAUCUCCCAUAUCCCAAAUAAAUAAGUAAAAAUAGCUGUGCGCGGUGGCAUAUGCCUGUAUUCCAGAAGCUGGGGACACUGAGGCAAGAGGAUUCCAAGUUCAAAGCCAACCUCAGCAAUUUAGCCAAUCCCUAUCUCAAAAGGGCUGGGGUGUGGCUCAGUGGUUAAAUGGCCAAUACCCAAAAUUAAAAGUAGAAAGAUUGACAAUAUUAGCAUAUCACUUUUGCCAUCACCAGUUAAUUAAUUGAUACAGGCAAUAGGUAUCAGUGGCUGCUAAUAGCUCAAAAGGAACAAAACCCCAGAGUUUAGAUGGUUCUCCAAGAACAUAAUACAACCUAUGAUAUAGCCAAAAUUAGAUGGUUCUCCAAGAAGAACAUAAUACAACCUAUGAUAUAGCCAAAAGGAUCAAAUCUCUGGAUUCAGCUGCCAAUUUGCAGAAAAUAAAGAGGACAUAAGAAUAUGUUAAACUGCAUCAUGAAUAUGUAAUCGGAAAAAUUGACUGUUGGAAAUGCUACAGGUCAAAAGCUCAGGUUCUUCAAGAGAUAAAUAAAAAGGAAAAGGAAAGCAUGUGAGCGAAAACUGUGUAUGAUAAGAAACAGCAAUGGACUGAAUGUGCCUCCCACCAGAUAUCAUAUGUUGAUAUUUAUUGGUGGAGUCUUUUAGUGUUUUAGAGGCAAUUAGGUUUAAAUGAAGUCAUGAGAGUUAGUAUUCUUAUAAGAGAAAGAGACAAGAGUCUUUUCUCCAGGCCACCAGAACAUAAAUAAAUUUGAUUAAGCCCAGUGUGGUAGUCCAUGCCUAUAAUCACAUAUACUUUAAGUUAUAAGGCUAGUCUGGACAACUUAGGAAGAAACUUCCUUAAAAUAAAAAAACAAAAUAUAACAGGGCUGGGGACCUAACUCAGCGUACAGUGCUUGCCUACUAUGUGGGGGGCCCUGGGUUCAAUUCCCAGGGUAUAUAAACACACACACACACACACACACACACACACACACACGAAGAUAUGAAGGAAUAAUUAUGGGGAAAUCUUAACAGUGGUUAUUUCUGAAAAAGCAGAAUGGAGAAUUUAAAAAACACAUAGAAGCCAGAUCUUGUGGUGUGCACUUGUAGUCGUAGCUACAAGUGAGGCAGGAUUGUAAAUUAAAUUAAAGGCAGCUUUGGCAACAGAGUGAGAAUCUGUCUCAAAUACAAAACUACUGAAAGAAAAAAAAAAAACAGACAUAAAGUGUGUGUGUGUAUACAUUCUGCAGUGAUAGGGAUCAAUUCCACAACCUCAUGCAUGAUAGGCAUGCUAGCUAGGCAAGUGGUCCACCACUGAUCUACACCCCUAGCCCAAAAUAUAUUAAAUUUAAAUCAAUAACAAUAUUAUCUUAGUGUGUUCAGUCACUAAGUCUAUGGUAUUGAUACCAUAGACUGGGUGGAUUAUGAACAACAAAAAUUUAUUUCUUUCAUCUCUAGAGACUGGGAAGUCCAAGAUCAGACCAAAUUUGGUGUCUGGCAAGGGCCCACUUUCUGGCUUAUAAAUGGCAUGGAAAUGCAGAAAAGAAGAAGGAGCUCUUUGAAGUCUUUUAUAAGGGCACUAAUCAUUCAUGAUGGUUUUGUGAGAAAUAGUAAGCCUGAUGGUCCAUUUUCAGAACAUAGUAUUUAACCUUAGUUGGAAUGUAAGAUCCAAUCCUAGCCAUUUGAGCUUCCCAACCUGUAUCCAAUUGUGGCUAUUUUAACUAUAGCCCUUCCCUUCACCCUCCCCAAUUUUAGAGUUAGCCAAUUGUGUAGAUGGCAACCCCAAGCUCUUCCUAUCAGAGCAAAGGGCAGCCUCACAUUCGGGAUAAAAAGAGGCAGUCUGCCCACCCAAGUGUGUUUGCUUGCUAGACUUAGUUCAGUAGCACACCCUUCUGCAGAAGUAAAUGUUGCCUUGCUGAGGCACCUUGGUAUUUUUAACAGUUGCACCCUCUUGACCGAAUCACUUAUCAAAGGCCUCAUCUUUUAAUAUCCAUGUCGUAGGUUAGCAUUUCAACAAAUGAAUUUUGGCACCAAGUUUUAAUAAGGAUGUGCAGAGCAAUGAGUAAUCUCAUGCAAAACUGGUGACCAUGUAAACCGAUAAAACCACUUCAGAAAAUGUGUAGCACUAUCUACUAAAGCUGAAUACAUGCACACCUUAUGCAUACCCAAUUACUCUUUAAGGUAUAAUACCAAGAUAAGUCUAUAAAUAUUAGUACCAAAACAUGUGUUAAAGAAUGUAAAUAAUAACAACAAAAAUCCAAUUUAAAAACAGGAAAAGAACUUAGACAUUUUCCCAAAGAUACACAGGUGGCAAUAAGUACAUGAAAAGGGCCAGGUGUGGUAGCAGACGCCUGUAAUCCCAGUGGCUUGGGAGGCUGAGACAGGAGGAUGGAGAGUUCAAAGCCAGCCUCAGCAAUAGCAAGGCACUAAGCAACUCAGUGCGAUCUUGUCUCUAAAUAAAAUACAAAAUAGAGCUGGAGAUAUGGCUCUGUGGUUGAGUGUCCCUGAGUUCAAGCCCUGAUACCAAAAAAAAAAAAAAAAGUACAUAAAAAGAUGUUCAAUAUCACUAUGUGGAAAUGCAAAUCAAAAUCAUAAUCAUACUUCACACCCAUUAGGAUGGUUAUUAUUAUUUGAAAGAAGGGAGGGAGGGAAACAAGUGUUAGUAAAGAUUUGUGGUAAUGGAACCCUUAUGCAUUAUGGGUGGGAAGACAAAAUGGGGAAGCCAUGUGGACUACUAUAAAAAAUAAUUUAAAAAUUAAACAGUGGGGCUGGGAUUGUGGCUCAGCGGUAGAGUGCUCGCCUAGCACAUGCGAGGCCCUGGGUUCGAUCCUCAGCACCACAUAAAAAUAAGAUAAAGAUAUAAAAAAAAUUAAAUAGUGGGGUAUGAUGGCACAUGCCUGUAAUCCCAGCAGCUCGGGAGGCUGAGACUGGAGGUCUGGAGUUCAAAGCCAGACUCAGCAAUGGCAAGGUGCUAAACUACUCAGUGAAACCCUGUCUCAAAAUACAAAAUAGGUCUGGGAUAUGGCUCUGUGGUUGAGUACCCCUGAGCUCAAUCCCCAGUACCUAAAAAUAAAUAAAUAAAUAAAUAAAUAAAUAAAAUUACCAUACAAUCCAGCACUUUAGGGACUUCCACUUUAGAGACUCAAAUAUUUAUGUACCCUUUUCAAUAUUAUUUGCAAUAUUCUAGAGGCAAAAACAAUCCAAAUGUCAAAUGAUAAAAUGUGGUGGACAUAUACCAUGGAAUAUUAUUUAGGCUUAAAAUAAGUUAGUGCUGGAGUUUUAGGUCAGUGAAAGUGCUUGAUCCCCAGCACUGAGAAAAAAAAAAAAAAAAAGAAGGGGAGAGGGAGAGAAGGAAGGGAAAGAAGGAAGUUCUGGGCCAGAUGGCCAAAGCACAGUUCCACACCCACAGCACCUUUGUGAACAUGUUGGACAUGAACAUGUGCGCAAGUUGAACCUGAUAGCUGAAGGAGAGAGUCAUUCAGACACUAUGCUUGGGACCCACUCUGCUCUCCAUGAGUAAAUUCAGAGAACUCUUCAGAACUAGAUGAACUCAUAAUUAUUUAAGAAGUGCAGAGUAUUGAGGAGUGAAAAUUGAACCCCUAAACAAACUAGAUGGAAAUAAUAAAGCAUAGCUGUUUUAAAUCAGUGAUGGAUAAAAGAUUUAAAAUAGCAGCUUUUACCAACACACAGAAACUAUUCUCAUCACUACUCCUUGAAGAAAAUACCCAUUAAAUUUCUAAUUAUUGCAGAUAAAAAUAAUAUGAAUCUUUUUCAAAAUAACCUGAUACUUAGAAAAGGCUCUAGUAUUCAGAAUUCAUAAUAUUAUCCCUGGUAAAAACUAGAUAUAUAAAAAUUAUGUAAUGAGGGCUGAGGUUGUGGCUCAAUGAUAGAGCACUCACCUAGCACAAGGGAGGCACUGGGUUUGAUCCUCAGCACCACAUAAAAAUAAACAAAUAAAUAAAUAUAAACAAAUAAAUAAAUAAAGGUAUUAUGUCUGUUUACCACUUGAAAAAUAUUUUUUUAAUUAUGUAAUGUAAGGACAACACUAUAACCUUAAUUCUUAUAUAGUAUUAUUAACUCACAUUCACUCCUGCAUUUGAGUCAAAAUACUUACUGAUUUUUUUCAUUGGCAAUAAUUAUGAGUGCAAAAAAGUUUCCUAGUUGUACAAUCAAAUGAAAAAUUAUACUAUCUUAAUUUUGCAAUAGAUUGUAAUUGCUGGUGUCAUUUUUAUACAACAAAGCAAAAGCUUAAUGGUAAAAUAAGAAACAAAAUAGCCAAAAUUCUUCAUUUAACAAAAAGGAAAUUCUGACACAUGCUACAACACAGAUGAAACUUGAAGAUAUAGUGCUAAGUGAAAUGAGCCACACACAAAAGGAUACAUGUAUGAUUCCACUUAUAUCAGAUACCUAGUACAGUCAUAUUCACAGACAUUAAAAAAAAUAGAACAGUGAUUACCAGUAGCUGGAGCAAAGGGAAUGGAAAAUUACUAUUUAAUGGUUUCCAUUUAGGCACAUGAAAAAGAUAUGAAAAUGGACAUUGGUGCUGAUCACACAAUAUGAAUGUACUUAUAUUUAAUGCUACUAAACUGUACUUAUAAAAUGAUUGAAAUACAGAAUUGUGUAUUUGUGUGUGUGUGUGUGUGUGCAUGUGUGUGUGUUUUACUGGAAAUUAAAACCAAGGUCUGGGGUUCAGGAUGUGGCUCAAGUGGUAGUGCGCUCACCUGGCAUGCAUGAGGCCCUGAGUUCAAUCCUCAGCACCACAUAAAAAUAAAAUAUUGUGUCUAUCUAAAACUAAAAAAUAAAUAUUUAAAAAAUAAAAAUAAAUAAAACCAAGGCCUCACCCAUGUUAAGGAAGCACUCUACCACUGAGCUCCAUCUCUAGCCUUUUUUGUUCUUAUUUCAGACAGGGUCUCACCAAGUUGUCAACACUGGCCUGGAACUUGGAAUCCUCCUGCCACAGCCUCCUAAGUAGCCAGGAUCGUAAGCAUGCCCCACCACACCCAGCCAUAAUUUUUUUUUUCCCCAAACUGCAUACAGCACUAUUUCUAACAACCCCAAACUGGAACAUAAUCAUCUGUGACAGUAGAAUAUAUUAAUUGUUAUAUAUUCAUCCAAUUGAACUAUAUAGCAAUGAGAAUGUACUAUUGCUACACUAAACACAGGAAUGAAUCUUAUAUACUGCUUAACAAAAUAGUGAAAUAAUUCGAGUAUGAAUAUUAUUAUGAAUCUAUUUGAAAAAUUCAAAAAUAAGCAAAACAAACCCAUAGUAGUAAUAUCUAUAGGCAGAAGAAAGGGUUAUAACUAGGAACAGGGAAUGGGGAGGGAUUUGGGAGCAUGGUAAUAUUCAAGUUUUUGACCUAGAUGGGGGUUAUAGAAGUGUUCACUUUGUAAAAAUUCACCAAGAAAUUCACAUUUCUUUUAUGUACUUUUGCAUGUGUCAUAAUUCAAUUUAAGAGUUUUUUUUUUUUUGGUACCAGGGAUUGAACUCAGGGGUACUUAACCACUGAGCCACUGCUGCAGUCUGGCUGGGCACAAUUCACAAGCCACUUAUCAAGCAGAAACGAACUUUACUUUUAGAACACACACACCACACCACACGAGCUCUUCAGGAAUUCCCUCAGAGCCCAGCUGCCACCACCGGCUUCCCAUGAGCCUCUCAACCCCCCACUCCUCCUGCUCUUGAGGCCAAUUGGCUGGGUCACAUGGGCGGAGCCAAAAGAGUCCCCCAAUGAGCAGCUCCAUAUAUCAUAUAUGACAAGUGCUCAUGAAAAAAAUGGAUCCAAAUAUUUUUUUUAUUCACGUGAUUUAAAUGAUUUAAUCAGCUGUUGAGGAUUGUUUUAAUAUGUGAACAAAAAAGGAGGUUAACAGAUCUGUUUGUUUACUUUCACCUUUCCUUUUCAUUAUAUUUGAUAAUUCUGUUCAGGAUGAUGUAAAUUGUUCAGAAAAUUGUUUUCUUUUAGUGCCUGCUGGAAUGUUACAUAAUUUUUUCUUUAGCCAUUAUUGCCAGAAUUCCUAUCUUCAUCCCAGUGCCGGUGAAAACAAAGAUAAAACCAAUCUACAGCUUCUGCAAUAGAUAUCACUGAACUGCUUGCAGAACUUGCCUGGACUGUGUAUCACUUGUAUGCAUUGUGAACUAUCUGUUGGUGCAGUGACUUGUGGUAGUGUUGGGGUAUUUUUGCUGAUGGUGUCAUCGGUAGUACAAUUUUUCCACAAGGAGCCGUCAAUUUGCUUGGUGUAUCCUCCUCCCUUCUGCUUGUGAUGGUCAUUCAGCUAAAAUUUGGGGGCCAACAGAGGUGAAGCAAAGAACCUCACCCCCCGCUGGUACAAAGGCCUAUCCACAGGUGUGGCUGUAUGCUGGACCGGUAGUCAAUGACGGGUAAGAUCUAAUUGCAAUGGUACCAACCUAAGACAGGAGGCUGACGCCUUGAGGUCAGCUCAUCAGAGUAAGGGUAAGGACCAUAUGUAGUAUUGGACAACUUAAGGCAGGCACGGUCCCUAAGCUUCAUGCUUGUUGUUUAAACAGAGAGAGGGAGAUGUUGAGAGCCACAGCCAAAGGGGCCCCAGCAAACUUCCAGCUGUUGGCUCACCGUGGCCCCAGCAAACUUCCAGCUCUGUGGUGAUGCUCAUUGGGCUGUUUCCCCGCCCUUUCAGACCACGGAGCUGCUCAUUGGGGAAGCCGGUGGUGGCAGUUGGGCUCUGAGGGAAUUCCUGAAGAACUUGUGUGGUGCAGUGUGUGUGUUCUAAAAAUAAAGUUCGUUUCUGCUUGAUAAGUGGCUGGUGAAUUGUGCCCAGCCAGACUGUGGCAAGCCACAUCCC